Non-coding RNA from Parelaphostrongylus tenuis, 73 nucleotides. NCBI's taxonomy places the organism in Eukaryota, Metazoa, Nematoda, Chromadorea, Rhabditida, Metastrongylidae. The record is from the annotation of a GenBank genome assembly.
GCGUCGGUGGUGCAACGGUUAAGUACGUGCUCCCGAAAAGAGUAAGAUCUGGGUACAAAUCCCGGUUGACGCA